AAACUUGACUGCGCGCUCUGCUGUAACGAGCGGGCUCGGAGGUGCUCCCGCUGCUGUCAUGGUUGGUUCGCUAAACUGCAUCGUCGCUGUGUCCCAGAACAUGGGCAUCGGCAAGAACGGGGACCUGCCCUGGCCACCGCUCAGGUAAACAGAAUCUGGUGAUUAUGGGUAAGAAAACCUGGUUCUCCAUUCCUGAGAAGAAUCGACCUUUAAAGGAUAGAAUUAAUUUAGUUCUCAGCAGAGAACUCAAGAAGCCAUGAAUCACCCAGGCCAUCUUAAACUAUUUGUGACAAGGAUCAUGCAGGACUUUGAAAGUGACACAUUUUUUCCAGAAAUUGAUUUGGAGAAAUAUAAACUCCUGCCAGAAUACCCAGGUGUUCUCUCUGAUGUCCAGGAGGAGAAAGGCAUUAAGUACAAAUUUGAAGUAUAUGAGAAGAAUGAUUAAUAUGAAGGUGUUUUCUGGUUUAAGUUGUUCCCCCUCCCUCUGAAAAAAGUCUUUUGUUGACUUUAGAUCUAUAAUUAUUUCUAAGCAACUUGUUUUUAUUCCCCACUACUCUUAUCUCUAUCAGAUACCAUUUAUGAGACAUUCUUGCUAUAACUAAGUGCUUCUCCAAGACCCCGAUUGAGUCCCCAGCACCUGCUAGUGAGCUGCCAUUCCACACCCAUCACAUGUGGCACUCUUGCCAGUCCUUGACAUUGUCGGGCUUUUCACAUGUUGGUAAUAUUUAUUAAAGAUGAAGAUCCACAUACCCUUCAACUGAGCAGUUUCACUAGUGGAAAUACCAAAAGCUUCCUACACGUAUAUCCAGAGGUUUGUAGGUAAAUGUUGCCACCUUGUUUGUAACAGUGAAAAACUGAAAACAACCUGGAAGUCCAGUGAUGGGAAAAUGAGUAUGUUUCUGUCUUAGAUUGGGGAACCCAAAGCAGAUUCCAAGACUGAAAUUUCAGUGAAAGCAGUUUAUUUGCUA
This 968-nucleotide small RNA is filed under the name Pongo abelii (Sumatran orangutan). RNAcentral describes it as "processed transcript". The record is from RNAcentral. Lineage: Eukaryota; Metazoa; Chordata; Mammalia; Primates; Hominidae.